AGGAUUUAACUGAUAAACGCAUAAUUUUAUCUAUUUAUUUAUAUUUUUUUUAAAAGUAUUGAUUUGG
RNAcentral lists this transfer RNA (67 nucleotides) under Potamyia flava. Its description in RNAcentral is "tRNA-Gln". The record is from RNAcentral. Lineage: Eukaryota; Metazoa; Arthropoda; Insecta; Trichoptera; Hydropsychidae.